GGCGAGACGUAAGAUGUGAAUUCAUGCUUAUUUUAAUAUUAUUUCAAGACAUGAUUGGUUUGUGUCAAAUAAAAAUGAAUUUUAUUCUAAUUCUAAUAAUACUGAUGGGACUAUUCUUGCAACAGUCAAAAUCACACAGCUCUUUAUACAAAUCAUUAUUUGCUGAAUCUGGCUAUCCUAUGUUAGGUGACAUACCGUUGCUAAACCGUAAGUUUUCAGAUAUUCAGAGCCACGCGUGUGACAAUCAGGGAGCAUCCAUACAUUGUCAGUAUUCGUAGGAAAUAUGUUCAUUAUCUCACUGGCUGCUUACUAACAAAAAAUUUGGUUGUGACUGUGGCACACCCAUUAUACCGUGUGCCCGUAAAUGAACUAAACGUAGUCGUUGGAGAGAAUUAUUCAGACCGUGGUACCACAUUAUUGACAGUUGUCUUACUCCUCAUUCACAAGAACUUUGACCCUUACACUUUAAAAGCGGAUAUAUGUAUUUUGCGGUUUUACGAAGAUAUUGUCAUAAGAUCAUCGUCAAAGACUAUCGCUUUAAUGCCUCCAAUGGAUACUCUGACCGGGCAAGCAUUUGUAACAGGUUGGGGCCGUUGUGAUUUCACGGGCCGAGAUCUGUGUUUACCACGGUCAUCUGUUUAUUUUCCUGAGGAAUUGAUGGAUCCAAUGCUGCGGUCUAUCUCUUUUGUAAUAAGUUCGCCAAAUAAUGCUUGUGACGUUUACAGACAGCAUGACAAUCACAUCCAUAGAGGAAUGUUAUGUGUGGGAUAUUCAAGAGAUGUUAAACCAGUGGCACCAUGUUUAGGGGUGCCAGGUGCACCGCUGAUACUACGUGGUAAACUGGUUGGCCUCCUGUCUUGGGGACUAGGUUGUGGCUACGCACACGACCUGCCACUAAUUUAUACCAACAUACAGCAUUAUUUCUCGUGGUUUGUUACAAACGUUAAAAUUUUAAAAAAUAUCACCCAUCAACACAUUAAGGAAUUAUUCGUGGUAACAAAAUCCUAUAAACUAUCAGUUUGGCUUCAAAGGACAAGAGAAAAACUUAUAAUGAAGCCAGAAACGCGUUUAAAUUUACAACCGCUAUCCAUUGAUACGACACUGUCUAAAUUAGAAGGACGACUAUAUGAUGUAAGAGACUUCAUAAACAAUGGUACAUAUCGAUCAGAAAAAAAGGAUAUGUAUAAGGAAAUGAAAGUGAAACACGAUAUGCCGGCUAUACAUUUUUUCCUCAAUAAACCCCUAAAGACAGAACCUUUUCUAAGCAAUGAAAGCCUUUACGAUGAUAUAGAUUAUGACUACGAUUCAGACGUCGAAAAUUAAUGGAAUUAAAUGUUAUGGAUUGAGAUUUUAUUAGAAAAGGUUAAUUGCUACUCGGUUUGUUGCCGGUAAAUUGUUAGUGCUCUGUCCGAAUCCAGGAUUUUAAUAUAAAUAUGUAUCGAUCGUGUCAAGCAAACUUUCAAUCAUUAUAAUUUUAAAUUUUCAUAUUUAUAGCAUUGUAGUGGUGGUCAGUUAUUGUCAAAGUUUGUGAAUCUUGAAUGUACAAACUAAAAGACGAAAACCUAAAACUUUGUUUGUCACUGUUAAAAUACUUAUUAAAGUUUUGGAUUUAGUUUUUAGACGUAAAAAAUUGUGACGUUUCUAUCAAUUUACAAAAUAAACUAUAUAAACUAUCAUUUAAAAAUAUUGCAGUUCUGCGUACCAUUAGUUAUCACUUCCGACCUGAUGAUGGAUUUUUAGUGAUAUCGAAGUACUAAAAUAUUUUUAAAUGUUACGUGGUCAUGUUAUGUGAGUUUACCGAAGUAUACAUUUUAUUAAAUCAAAAUAUGUAUAAAUGUUUUGCUCGAAUCAGCGAUCCAGGCUACUGCCACUAAAUUAAAUAAGUCUGUAUUUAUUAACAAUUAUCGUGUUUAAGGUGGAAAAAAAUUUAAUUCAACUUGGCGAUAAUUGAGGUCAGAUAGCUUUUCAAUAAGCCAAUACUUAUUAUAUGUGCGACGUUCAUUGAGAGCCUGCAUUCAUUUAAUCCUUUGUUAGCAAAUAUUUUAUUAAAUAAUAGCACGUAAUAUAAAGUCACAAAGUCCUUUUUAUAUUAACUGUAAUUGCAUAGUCCGAUAAAGUUAUGUAAGAUAAAAAUAUUAUUUAUUUUUUCGUGAAAUCGUAGCAAGUUAUAUUUAAAAUAAAUAUUUAAAGCAAAUCUAUUCAAUAAACAAUUCAAACCUGUUGUCUUUAUUGAAUUGUAAUUUUUCAGCGAAUCAUUUUGGAAAGUAGGACGAUAUCGAGGGUAGCUUGACAACAACUUAAUUUACUUAUAAAGCAACUGUAUUUACAUAAUGCAUUUAUAAAAUUGAACAAUGUUGUAUUUAAAAACAGUACUAUUAUUUGGGUUCAGAAUUCAUAUAUAGGACGUUAAAGCCUUAAGAAGGCCAUGUAUGGGGUUUUAGCUGAUCCUUACAUCCAAAUUGUUUAAAUUUUGAAUUAAUUUUAUUAAAUAUACUCACAAGCGUCUAAACCUAUUGAAUGCUUUGUUGUAGAAAUCUCGUGUCUAACAAAUGAUGGUGUUUAAUGGUGUUUAGUACAUUGUUGAUAAAUUAAUGGAUAAAUUAAACAUACUUUUAUGUUGAUACUUUAUUUGGUUAAAUCCAUUGGUACAGCUUUUCUACAUU
Pieris brassicae (large cabbage white) is the source of this 2663-nucleotide RNA transcript. It is a transcript of the gene named trypsin beta-like, with no coding region annotated. The record is from RefSeq and is a predicted model, not a curated record. The transcript has 8 exons. Lineage: Eukaryota; Metazoa; Arthropoda; Insecta; Lepidoptera; Pieridae.